Molecule: transfer-messenger RNA, 367 nt
Filed under: Helicobacteraceae
Lineage: Bacteria; Pseudomonadati; Campylobacterota; Epsilonproteobacteria; Campylobacterales
Also listed under: 1 other name
Description: Helicobacter_D apodemus Standard tmRNA
Rfam family: transfer-messenger RNA
About the family: Bacterial tmRNA, also known as 10Sa RNA or SsrA, is named for its dual tRNA and mRNA-like properties. Its role is to liberate the mRNA from a stalled ribosome.
Source: RNAcentral
GGGGCUGAUUUGAAUUUCGACAGGAUUUAGAUGGCUCUAGCUGCAUGCCAACUUGCACGAAGUUGUAAAACCCGUGCAUUAAAUAUAAACGCAAAUAACGCAAAUUACGCUCCAGCUUACGCUAAAGCUGCGUAAGUUUAUUUAACCUUUGGGGCUAUUUUUGGUAAAGAUUCUAGCUAUUUUCCAAAAAUAUCAUUUAUGCUAGAUGCAAUCUUGCCUCGCCAAAGCAAGAUGAAGUUUUGGCUGUCUUUGUGAAUGAUUUUAGGAAGUUUUGCUUCACAAAAAAGAUUAAAACCCUAAAAAGCAUGUAAUCCAGCAGUGUUGGUCUAAUUUUUGGACUGGGGUUUGAUUCCCCACAGCUCCACCA